UGGCUCAGAUUGAACGCUGGCGGCAUGCCUAACACAUGCAAGUCGAACGGCAGCACAGUGUGUAGCAAUACACAUGGGUGGCGAGUGGCGGACGGGUGAGUAAUGCAUAGGAAUCUGCCCAGUAGCGGGGGACAACCCGGAGAAAUCCGGGCUAAUACCGCAUACGCCCUACGGGGGAAAGCGGGGGACCGAAAGGCCUCGCACUAUUGGAUGAGCCUAUGUCGGAUUAGCUAGUUGGUAGGGUAAUGGCCUACCAAGGCGACGAUCCGUAGCUGGUCUGAGAGGACGAUCAGCCACACCGGAACUGAGACACGGUCCGGACUCCUACGGGAGGCAGCAGUGGGGAAUAUUGGACAAUGGGGGAAACCCUGAUCCAGCAAUGCCGCGUGUGUGAAGAAGGCCUGCGGGUUGUAAAGCACUUUCGGUGGGGACAAAAAGUGGCGGGAUAACACCCUACUAUCUUGAUUUAACCCAUAGAAGAAGCACCGGCUAACUCUGUGCCAGCAGCCGCGGUAUACAGAGGGUGCAAGCGUUAUCGGAUACUGGGCGUAAAGCGCACGUAGGCGGCUGUUAGUGGAUGUGAAUCCCCGGCUACUUGGAUUGCUUCA
This 608-nucleotide ribosomal RNA is filed under the name uncultured Gammaproteobacteria bacterium. RNAcentral's name for it is "bacterial SSU rRNA". It matches the Rfam family "Bacterial small subunit ribosomal RNA", at positions 20 to 628 of the family's 1533-position model. Lineage: Bacteria; Pseudomonadati; Pseudomonadota; Gammaproteobacteria. The record is from RNAcentral.